Molecule: ribosomal RNA, 1254 nt
Filed under: uncultured Acinetobacter sp.
Lineage: Bacteria; Pseudomonadati; Pseudomonadota; Gammaproteobacteria; Moraxellales; Moraxellaceae
Description: bacterial SSU rRNA
Rfam family: Bacterial small subunit ribosomal RNA
Source: RNAcentral
CUUGCUACCUGACCUAGCGGCGGACGGGUGAGUAAUGCUUAGGAAUCUGCCUAUUAGUGGGGGACAACAUUCCGAAAGGAAUGCUAAUACCGCAUACGCCCUACGGGGGAAAGCAGGGGAUCUUCGGACCUUGCGCUAAUAGAUGAGCCUAAGUCAGAUUAGCUAGUUGGUGGGGUAAAGGCCUACCAAGGCGACGAUCUGUAGCGGGUCUGAGAGGAUGAUCCGCCACACUGGGACUGAGACACGGCCCAGACUCCUACGGGAGGCAGCAGUGGGGAAUAUUGGACAAUGGGCGAAAGCCUGAUCCAGCCAUGCCGCGUGUGUGAAGAAGGCCUUUUGGUUGUAAAGCACUUUAAGCGAGGAGGAGGCUACUUAGAUUAAUACUCUAGGAUAGUGGACGUUACUCGCAGAAUAAGCACCGGCUAACUCUGUGCCAGCAGCCGCGGUAAUACAGAGGGUGCGAGCGUUAAUCGGAUUUACUGGGCGUAAAGCGUGCGUAGGCGGCUUCUUAAGUCGGAUGUGAAAUCCCUGAGCUUAACUUAGGAAUUGCAUUCGAUACUGGGAAGCUAGAGUAUGGGAGAGGAUGGUAGAAUUCCANGUGUAGCGGUGAAAUGCGUAGAGAUCUGGANGAAUACCGAUGGCGAAGGCAGCCAUCUGGCCUAAUACUGACGCUGAGGUACGAAAGCAUGGGGAGCAAACAGGAUUAGAUACCCUGGUAGUCCAUGCCGUAAACGAUGUCUACUAGCCGUUGGGGCCUUUGAGGCUUUAGUGGCGCAGCUAACGCGAUAAGUAGACCGCCUGGGGAGUACGGUCGCAAGACUAAAACUCAAAUGAAUUGACGGGGGCCCGCACAAGCGGUGGAGCAUGUGGUUUAAUUCGAUGCAACGCGAAGAACCUUACCUGGUCUUGACAUAGUAAGAACUUUCCAGAGAUGGAUUGGUGCCUUCGGGAACUUGCAUACAGGUGCUGCAUGGCUGUCGUCAGCUCGUGUCGUGAGAUGUUGGGUUAAGUCCCGCGACGAGCGCAACCCUUUUCCUUAUUUGCCAGCGGGUUAAGCCGGGAACUUUAAGGAUACUGCCAGUGACAAACUGGAGGAAGGCGGGGACGACGUCAAGUCAUCAUGGCCCUUACGACCAGGGCUACACACGUGCUACAAUGGUCGGUACAAAGGGUUGCUACCUAGCGAUAGGAUGCUAAUCUCAAAAAGCCGAUCGUAGUCCGGAUUGGAGUCUGCAACUCGACUCCAUGAAGUCG